RNAcentral lists this ribosomal RNA (266 nucleotides) under uncultured bacterium. RNAcentral describes it as "partial 16S ribosomal RNA". It matches the Rfam family "Bacterial small subunit ribosomal RNA", at positions 793 to 1055 of the family's 1533-position model. The record is from RNAcentral.
GUCCACGCCCUAAACGAUGUCAACUAGGUGUUGGGUUGGUAAAACCAUUUAGUACCGGAGCUAACGCGUGAAGUUGACCGCCUGGGGAGUACGGCCGCAAGGUUAAAACUCAAAGGAAUUGACGGGGACCCGCACAAGCGGUGGAUGAUGUGGAUUAAUUCGAUGCAACGCGAAAAACCUUACCUACCCUUGACAUGUCCGGAAGCCCUUAGAGAUUUGGGUGUGCUCGAAAGAGAGCCGGAACACAGGUGCUGCAUGGCUGUCGU